This 780-nucleotide ribosomal RNA is filed under the name uncultured Neocallimastigales. RNAcentral's name for it is "partial large subunit ribosomal RNA". It matches the Rfam family "Eukaryotic large subunit ribosomal RNA", at positions 24 to 644 of the family's 3401-position model. Lineage: Eukaryota; Fungi; Neocallimastigomycota; Neocallimastigomycetes; Neocallimastigales. The record is from RNAcentral.
UACGACUACAUAUCAGGCAUAUCAAUAAGCGGAGGAAAAGAAACUAACAAGGAUUCCCUUAGUAACGGCGAGUGAAGCGGGAAGAGCUCAAAUUUGAAAUCUUCAAGGUUUUACCUUGACGAAUUGUAGUUUAAAGAAGUGUUUUCUGUUGGUGUUUUGGUAAAAGUUCUUUGGAAUAGGACAUCAUAGAGGGUGAGAAUCCCGUAUUUGACCAUUACUUCCAGCGUUGUGAUACACUUUCAAAGAGUCGGAUUGUUUGGGAGUGCAGUCCAAAAUGGGUGGUAAAUUUCAUCUAAAGCUAAAUAUUGGCGAGAGACCGAUAGCGAACAAGUACCGUGAGGGAAAGAUGAAAAGAACUUUGAAAAGAGAGUUAAACAGUACGUGAAAUUGUCAAAAGGGAAGCGUUUGACACCAGUGUUGUUUUCUCGAAAAUCAAUUAAAAAGUAUGGGAUUUUGUAUUGUUAAGACCUUAUCAGCUUACGGUACUUUUUUCUUAUUCUUUUUAAUGCACUUUUCGUUUAACAAGUCAACAUCAAUUUCUUUUGUUGUAAAAGAGUCAUUGGAAGGUGGCUUUCACUUCGGUGAAAGUGUUUAUAGCCUUUGGACUUCUGCAAUCGGAGAGAUUGAGGUCUGCAGCGUAGAUCCUUCGGGGUUAGAUACGUAUGAUGCUAAGUUAUAGCUUUUUCAUAGACAACUUGUUGACUAUGAUUUAGUCAUGUAGCUUACUCGCUUAUGCGCUAUUUUACCUACGCUUAGGAUGUUGAAUCUGUGCGAGACUAC